RNAcentral lists this ribosomal RNA (464 nucleotides) under uncultured bacterium. RNAcentral describes it as "bacterial SSU rRNA". It matches the Rfam family "Bacterial small subunit ribosomal RNA", at positions 330 to 792 of the family's 1533-position model. The record is from RNAcentral.
GCCAGACUCCUACGGGAGGCAGCAGUGAGGAAUAUUGGUCAAUGGCCGAGAGGCUGAACCAGCCAAGUCGCGUGAGGGAAGACGGCCCUACGGGUUGUAAACCUCUUUUGUCGGGGAGCAAAGCGAGUCACGUGUGACUCAUUGAGAGUACCCGAAGAAAAAGCAUCGGCUAACUCCGUGCCAGCAGCCGCGGUAAUACGGAGGAUGCGAGCGUUAUCCGGAUUUAUUGGGUUUAAAGGGUGCGCAGGCGGGGAGUUAAGUCAGGGGAAAAUUUUGGGGGCCAACCCCCGACAAGCCGUUGAAACUGGCUUGCUAGAGUGGGCGAGAAGUAUGCGGAAUGCGUGGUGUAGCGGUGAAAUGCAUAGAUAUCACGCAGAACUCCGAUUGCGAGGGCAGCAUACCGGCGCCCAACUGACGCUCAGGCACGAAAGCGUGGGUAUCGAACAGGAUUAGAUACCCCCGUA